CAGAUGUGCUGCUUUUCCUUAGAAUAUAAACCUCAGCCAGGUGAAGAAACUGGUGGCUGAUGGUGCUCAGAUGAAGACAGGUGCUAUGAUACAGGCAUGUCAACUGCAGAAGAGAAGGCCAAGAAGGCAGCCACUGAGGUGGAUCUACUGACUGCUCAGUCUCAUCUUCUAGAGUUCACUGGAGCCAAAGGCUACACCCAAUAUAGACUGCUGGAUCUUUCAAAACAACUUCAUAUAAGGGAGACAAGGAAAAUCUGAGCAGGGUGUAGACGAAGAUGGAUAAACUUCAGCUGAAAGUGCAGUAACAAACAGCAAGUGGAGGCAGCAGUAAGUACUUGAAGUUACCUCAUGCAUUCCUUGACAUUGUUUUU
Molecule: long non-coding RNA, 371 nt
Filed under: Fukomys damarensis (Damara mole-rat)
Lineage: Eukaryota; Metazoa; Chordata; Mammalia; Rodentia; Bathyergidae
Description: lncRNA (ENSFDAG00000021676.1)
Source: RNAcentral